Molecule: ribosomal RNA, 292 nt
Filed under: uncultured bacterium
Lineage: Bacteria
Description: partial 16S ribosomal RNA
Rfam family: Bacterial small subunit ribosomal RNA
Source: RNAcentral
GUGUCAGCAGCCGCGGUAAUACGUAGGUUGCGAGCGUUAUUCGGAUUUACUGGGCGUAAAGAGCACCGAGGUGGCUUCUUAAGUUGGAUGUAAAAUCUCCUGGCUUAACUGGGAGGCGCCAUUCAAAACUGAGGAGCUUGAGGUCAGCAGGGGAAGGUGGAAUUCCCGGUGUAGUGGUGGAAUGCGUAGAGAUCGGGAGGAACACCAGUGGCGAAAGCGACCUUCUGGGCUGCACCUGACACUCUAGUGCGAAAGCGUGGGGAGCAAACAGGAUUAGAUACCCCCGUAGUCC